CUUUUGUUUAAUGGUCUAAGUGUGAUACUUGGACUAUAUAAAUGAGUGUGUAAACUUGCUUGUUAUAGUGUAUUUAUGUUAAGUUUUGCAGAGAUUAUCUACACUGCCUGACUCUGGGAAUGUGCAAAUGGUCUCUGAAAGCAGCACUGAUGCCUCAUUUUUCUCUGACUCAACACUUCACUCAAGACCUAGCACAUCAGCUACCCUUCCACCAGAGGAUAUCCCAUUAGGGUCCAGACCUGUAAAAAUGGAUGAUAUGGCUUGGAAAAGCAUUGUCAGUCCAGAAUUGGCAGCAGAGCAUUACAGAAGACAGUGGCUGCAAAACAAAGAAGAUGAGCCAACUCUGAAAAUUAAAAUAGACAUCAGGGAUGAUGUAGAGGAGCAAGAGGGCACAAUCCUCAACUUUUACAAGGCUCCCAACAUUGAUUGGGCUAGACCAUUCCAAGCUAAACUACAGGGAGAUUUGGCUAUUGGGGAUGGCGUGAAUUCUAAGUGUCUUCGACACUUCCUAAGUAUGGUAAUGCACAAGUUGCAAUAUGGAUUCACAGUGAUUUUGGAAAUGCAUGCAGCACUUUGCUAUUUGAGGGCCAAACUGACCACCUAAUCCCUUCCACCUCCCAAGUGUUGGCACAGAAUGAGAUGUUUAUCAUGGCAGGGAGAAUGAUAGGCCAUUCUUUCCUUCAUGGUGGCCCUCGUCUGACAGGUGUUAGCCCAUCAGUUCUUCAUGUGCUGUUAGGUGGAACGCCCCAGACAUCAUCACCCUUGAAGAUGUGGCAGAUAUAGAGAUCAAGUAGACCAUAAGACCGCUUUAUGAAGAUGAAGAAUCCAAGAACCAAUGCAGUGGACUCCCUGAGGAUCAAAGGGCAGCUGUAAAUGAGUUCACACUGGCAUGGGAUCUCCCUGUAUUAACAGAAACCAGCAGGACUUGGCUUCUUCAUAAUCUACUUCAACAUGCAGUACUUGGAUGAAACUCACGCCAGUUGAAGCAGGGAUUGAAGGAAUCAUUGAUUUUUGCCACUUUUGGAAUCUCGACCUGGCACAGUGGCAUCAGUUUUUCCAAGUCAGUCAAUGGCUGAAUGCAGUGCUGAGACCACAUCAAAUGGCCUGAGGAAGGAGGGUUGGAGGAUGAUGAUGACAGUGGGUACUCAAAUGCAGAAUUAUGGGGUACUUACGUCAGUUUAUGAGAACAGUGUUGCAUUCAAAUGGAUGACAAAGGUCCACGAAUUUCUCGAUCAUUACAUUGCAUCACAACAGGACCCGUCUGUUAAGGUGCUUCAGCACAAGUUUCAUUGGCAGUCUGUCGAUGAUGUCGUCUGGGUUGCCAGAGAAGACGGUUGACGGCACAAUGAAUACCUCCGACUCACUGCUGAGGAAUGUGCAGGUGUCGUUGACCUCAGAGACACCAAUGAUGUCUACCUCAGUUUCCUCAACCUGGCCCUCAGGGAUCUGUGGAAACAAACCAGUGUGGGAAAUGUCAGUGUAUUAGUACUAAAAACACCUCACUUGUAAACUAUGGCAGCAGUAGUGUUGUGCAUUAUGUACCUGCACAGACGUGUAGGCCGAGGACUGGAAUUUCCUCUGGCCGUUCUUAAAAAUGCAGGGACGAAGGUGUGUGAGCACCACCUCGUCACCCACGUAGAGGUCCGUCAGCGCCUCAUCCCUCCACAGCGACACGUCAAAGGCCUUUCCUCCACACUGGAGCCGCAUGUCCAGAAUGGGGACGUUGGUUCUAGUCAUCCUCGUGCCACACAACUGGAAAAAGUUUUUGACCCGUCAGAAAGGGCACUCAAACACUGCGUUUUAAAUCUUCCAAUAUCUAUUUUCCGUCCCUUGGUGAAGCUCUGGGCUCGCUGGCUCAACUUGGUUGCAACACACUUGCAAGUCAAAAAUGCAGUUGGAGUUGUUGGAGUUGUUGGAGUUGCCAUGCUGAAGACAGAGGAAGUUUCUCCACGUACAGAAAACAUCAGACGAGCCACGCCAACAUUCUCUCCUCCCUGAUCAGCUCACACUCUAAACAAUAAUCUAACAUAAUGAAGAGCCA
This is a long non-coding RNA of Xyrauchen texanus (razorback sucker), 2041 nucleotides long. RefSeq lists it as uncharacterized. The transcript has 12 exons. The record is from RefSeq and is a predicted model, not a curated record. NCBI's taxonomy places the organism in Eukaryota, Metazoa, Chordata, Actinopteri, Cypriniformes, Catostomidae.